RNAcentral lists this transfer RNA (89 nucleotides) under Cavernulicola chilensis. RNAcentral's name for it is "tRNA-Ser". It matches the Rfam family "tRNA". Rfam says of the family: Transfer RNA (tRNA) molecules are approximately 80 nucleotides in length. Their secondary structure includes four short double-helical elements and three loops (D, anti-codon, and T loops). Lineage: Eukaryota; Rhodophyta; Bangiophyceae; Cavernulicolales; Cavernulicolaceae. The record is from RNAcentral.
GGAGAGGUGGCUGAGUGGCCGAAAGCAGUGGUUUGCUAAAUCACCAUGCAGCCUAUGCUGCAUCAUGGGUUCGAAUCCCAUCUUCUCCA